GCUUAACGCGAAGAACCUUACCUGGGCUCGAACGGUAGCUUAUAUCUCCUGAAAGGGAGUGCCCGCAAGGGGUGCUAUCGAGGUGCUGCAUGGCUGUCGUCAGCUCGUGUCGUGAGAUGUUGGGGUUAAGUCCCGCAACGAGCGCAACCCCCCAUUCCUAGUUACCAGCACGUCAUGGUGGGGACUCUAGGGAGACUGCCCCGGACAACGGGGAGGAAGGCGGGGAUGACGUCAAGUCAUCAUGGCCCUUACGUCCCGGGCUACACACGUGCUACAAUGGACGAGACAACGUGUUGCCACUCAGCGAUGAGGCGCUAAUCACUUAAACUCGUUCUCAGUUCAGAUUGCAGGCUGCAACUCGCCUGCAUGAAGCUGGAAUCGCUAGUAAUCG
Molecule: ribosomal RNA, 391 nt
Filed under: uncultured bacterium
Lineage: Bacteria
Description: bacterial SSU rRNA
Rfam family: Bacterial small subunit ribosomal RNA
Source: RNAcentral